CAAAAUGAGGUUAUCAUUAUGCUGUUAUCAAGUGUUUAAUGGGUAUGGUAGGAUCCAAUGAUUAGAGAUUAUAUAUGGAUUAUAUAUGGAUUUUCUUUUCUCAGAUAAAACUCACCUAAAGCUGUGAUUUCUGAUCUUUAAGAACCUAAGUCUCAACUGUAAUUUGUACUCUGCAGGGUACUUAGCUUCUUAUAAAAAACAUAACUCUGUGGAGACUUUCAAGGAGGAACAACCAGAUUUCAUCACAUUAUUUUCCAGCUGGAUGUGAAGGCAAAGGGUAGCCUAGAAGCUUCUGGCCAAGGAUGAAAAAACCCCUGUCAAUCUGCUUUCCUGAAGGAUCAGCCAGGUUGUCUUCUAAAUCAAGAGCUUUAGCAGACACGUACGAGUGGCAUUGCUGUGACACAUCAUGGAGAGGAUUCGGCUGUAUCCUGGUCUCAUAAAGGAAAGGGUGACAAAGGAGGUGAGCCAUGGGAGAAAAGAUCCCAGGGAGAUCUCCAAUUUUAAAAUAGAGAGUGUAUUAUGGAUUCUAAAUUCCUUCAAACAAACACAGUAGGACUCUGAAGGAUUUGUGGACUUUCAAAGUGGAAUUGGGCCCCAGGAAUACAGGAUUUUAAAACCCCAGAGGGGAUACAGAGAUUUAACUCAACAUUGGUAAGCUACUGUCAGUAUCAAAAUGUCACUUACUCCUGAAUAUUCUCUUCCUCACACUUAACCUCCUGGAGGCCUGCAAUCUACUGAUCAAAUACUUAGAAUUCAUAACAGAAGUUGAAAACUGAUUCCAACAAUUAAAAUUUACCAAUCACCCAUGAAUUCAUUCUUUCCUCCUUACUUUCUCACUCCCAACCAAUAUGGCACAUCCCAUUAAUUAGCUAGAAGGUUGUGCUUUCCUCAUGAUAAAAAUGAUCAAAGUGACUGAAAAAAAAAACAAAAAAACCCCAAAAAGCCAAAUGAGUUUUACUUUGUUUAUUUGUAUGGCAGAAGAGUCCAGUUACUUGGCAUGAGUACCUCAGAUUAUCAUUCAUCC
RNAcentral lists this long non-coding RNA (1024 nucleotides) under Vulpes vulpes (red fox). Its description in RNAcentral is "lncRNA (ENSVVUG00000002718.1)". The record is from RNAcentral. Lineage: Eukaryota; Metazoa; Chordata; Mammalia; Carnivora; Canidae.